GUGGGGAAUAUUGCACAAUGGGCGAAAGCCUGAUGCAGCAAAGCCGCGUGAGGGACGACGGCCUUCGGGUUGUAAACCUCUUUUAGUAGGGAAGAAGCGAAAGUGACGGUACCUGCAGAAAAAGCACCGGCUAACUACGUGCCAGCAGCCGCGGUAAUACGUAGGGUGCAAGCGUUAUCCGGAAUUAUUGGGCGUAAAGAGCUCGUAGGCGGUCUGUCGCGUCUGCUGUGAAAACUGGAGGCUCAACCUCCAGCCUGCAGUGGGUACGGGCAGACUAGAGUGCGGUAGGGGAGAUUGGAAUUCCUGGUGUAGCGGUGGAAUGCGCAGAUAUCAGGAGGAACACCGAUGGCGAAGGCAGAUCUCUGGGCCGUAACUGACGCUGAGGAGCGAAAGCGUGGGGAGCGAACAGGAUUAGAUACCCGUGUAGUCC
This 430-nucleotide ribosomal RNA is filed under the name uncultured bacterium. Its description in RNAcentral is "partial 16S ribosomal RNA". It matches the Rfam family "Bacterial small subunit ribosomal RNA", at positions 354 to 796 of the family's 1533-position model. The record is from RNAcentral.